AAUGGGGGCAACCCUGAUCCAGCCAUGCCGCGUGAGUGAAGAAGGCCUUCGGGUUGUAAAGCUCUUUCGGCCGGGAAGAAAUCGCAUGGGUGAAUACCCUGUGUGGAUGACGGUACCGGAACAAGAAGCACCGGCUAACUACGUGCCAGCAGCCGCGGUAAUACGUAGGGUGCGAGCGUUAANCGGAAUUACUGGGCGUAAAGCGUGCGCAGGCGGCUUUUUAAGCCAGAUGUUAAAUCCCCGGGCUUAACCUGGGAACUGCAUUUGGAACUGGAAGGCUAGAGUGUAGCAGAGGGGGGUAGAAUUCCACGUGUAGCAGUGAAAUGCGUAGAUAUGUGGAGGAAUACCGAUGGCGAAGGCAGCCCCCUGGGUUAACACUGACGCUCAUGCACGAAAGCGUGGGGAGCAAA
Molecule: ribosomal RNA, 410 nt
Filed under: uncultured bacterium
Lineage: Bacteria
Description: bacterial SSU rRNA
Rfam family: Bacterial small subunit ribosomal RNA
Source: RNAcentral